Molecule: long non-coding RNA, 651 nt
Organism: Ictalurus punctatus (channel catfish)
Lineage: Eukaryota; Metazoa; Chordata; Actinopteri; Siluriformes; Ictaluridae
Source: Ensembl
UACACACACAUACUAGCCUACUACCUAGUACAGUCAAUAAAUUAGUACAAAGGAGUGUGUUCAGGCCUCAGUGGAGCAUAUCCAGGCGCACUAGCCUGUUUCCUGAGCUCAUGGCGUAUUACAUACAAGCUUAUUAAAAAGGCUGGAGACUUUUUGGAAAAAUGAACAAACGCUGUUUUCCUCAGAGCCCUACAGACAUGAUGCUGGUUAAGAAGGAGCAGAAAGAUGCCGAGCUGGAUAGGAAGAUUGAGGCGUUGCGAAAGAAGAACGAGGCCCUUAUGAAGCGCUAUCAGGAGGUGGAGGAGGAUAAGAAACGGGGCGGAGCAGGAGGGCAUGGCAAUGCAGAGCCGCAAAGGGAAGGUUGAGGACCUGACCAUCACCAUCAACAAGUCCCCAACUGAGAAGCGUGUUGUAACCAAGAAGGGUUGGGAGAUGCAAUUCCUAAAGGGGUGAAGAACCAGGAGGACGUGUCCGACAUUUUUAGUGCUGGCCGUGGUAAAAGGAGGCAGCUUCUAGUCACUGCACCAGGAAACACUAAGGUUGGAAAGAAGCAGGAACGAAAGUGUCGAGUUGAAGGUGGUCAUCAUGGAUUCACUGAGUAUAACCCCUAUCCCCAGCAAACCGAAGUGCUGACUGAUCUCAGCAUCCCCA